AGUGUAGUUAAUAGCUGCAUUAUUUGACGUUAGCGACAGAAGAAGCACCGGCUAACUCCGUGCCAGCAGCCGCGGUAAUACGGAGGGUGCGAGCGUUAAUCGGAAUUACUGGGCGUAAAGCGCAUGCAGGUGGUUUGUUAAGUCAGAUGUGAAAGCCCGGGGCUCAACCUCGGAAUUGCAUUUGAAACUGGCAGACUAGAGUACUGUAGAGGGGGGUAGAAUUUCAGGUGUAGCGGUGAAAUGCGUAGAGAUCUGAAGGAAUACCGGUGGCGAAGGCGGCCCCCUGGACAGAUACUGACACUCAGAUGCGAAAGCGUGGGGAGCAAACAGGAUUAGAUACCCUGGUAGUCCACGCCGUAAACGAUGUCUACUUGGAGGUUGUGGCCUUGAGCCGUGGCUUUCGGAGCUAACGCGUUAAGUAGACCGCCUGGGGAGUACGGUCGCAAGAUUAAAACUCAAAUGAAUUGACGGGGGCCCGCACAAGCGGUGGAGCAUGUGGUUUAAUUCGAUGCAACGCGAAGAACCUUACCUACUCUUGACAUCCAGAGAACUUUCCAGAGAUGGAUUGGUGCCUUCGGGAACUCUGAGACAGGUGCUGCAUGGCUGUCGUCAGCUCGUGUUGUGAAAUGUUGGGUUAAGUCCCGCAACGAGCGCAACCCUUAUCCUUGUUUGCCAGCGAGUAAUGUCGGGAACUCCAGGGAGACUGCCGGUGAUAAACCGGAGGAAGGUGGGGACGACGUCAAGUCAUCAUGGCCCUUACGAGUAGGGCUACACACGUGCUACAAUGGCGCAUACAGAGGGCAGCCAACUUGCGAAAGUGAGCGAAUCCCAAAAAGUGCGUCGUAGUCCGGAUUGGAGUCUGCAACUCGACUCCAUGAAGUCGGAAUCGCUAGUAAUCGUGGAUCAGAAUGCCACGGUGAAUACGUUCCCGGGCCUUGUACACACCGCCCGUCACACCAUGGGAGUGGGCUGCAAAAGAAGUAGGUAGUUUAACCUUCGGGGGGACGCUUACCACUUUGUGGUUCAUGACUGGGGUGAAGUCGUAACAAGGUAGCGCUAGGGGAACC
Molecule: ribosomal RNA, 1067 nt
Filed under: Vibrio parahaemolyticus
Lineage: Bacteria; Pseudomonadati; Pseudomonadota; Gammaproteobacteria; Vibrionales; Vibrionaceae
Description: bacterial SSU rRNA
Rfam family: Bacterial small subunit ribosomal RNA
Source: RNAcentral